This 496-nucleotide ribosomal RNA is filed under the name uncultured bacterium. RNAcentral's name for it is "partial 16S ribosomal RNA". It matches the Rfam family "Bacterial small subunit ribosomal RNA", at positions 28 to 507 of the family's 1533-position model. The record is from RNAcentral.
GAUGAACGCUGGCGGCGUGCCUAAUACAUGCAAGUCGAGCGAACAGACGAGGAGCUUGCUCCUCUGACGUUAGCGGCGGACGGGUGAGUAACACGUGGAUAACCUACCUAUAAGACUGGGAUAACUUCGGGAAACCGGAGCUAAUACCGGAUAAUAUAUUGAACCGCAUGGUUCAAUAGUGAAAGACGGUUUUGCUGUCACUUAUAGAUGGAUCCGGGCCGCAUUAGCUAGUUGGUAAGGUAACGGCUUACCAAGGCAACGAUGCGUAGCCGACCUGAGAGGGGGUAGCCCCCCUCAGAAAGUGAGACACGGCACUGGCACCGAGGGGGGGCAGAGGGUGGGACGGGGCGGAAAAGGGGGAAAUCCUGCAGGAGGAACGGCGGGGUGGUGAAGAAGGGCCGCGGGUGGUAAAACUCUUUUCUGAGGGAAAAACAAUUGUGUAAGUAACGAAGCACGUCUUACCGUAACCUAUACAGAAACCCCCGGCAAACACGUG